AUUAGGGUUCGAUUCCGGAGAGGGAGCCUGAGAAACGGCUACCACAUCUAAGGAAGGCAGCAGGCGCGCAAAUUACCCAAUCCUAAUACAGGGAGGUAGUGACAAGAAAUAACAAUACAGGACCUUUUCGGUUUUGUAAUUGGAAUGAGUUAAGUAUAAACCCCUUUACAAGUAUCAAUUGGAGGGCAAGUCUGGUGCCAGCAGCCGCGGUAAUUCCAGCUCCAAUAGCGUAUAUUAAAGUUGUUGCAGUUAAAAAGCUCGUAGUUGGAUUUCUGUUAAUUGCUUUAUAUAAUUUAUGCUUUGCUGCAUAUUUAUAUAGUAUUAACAUAAUUCAUAUUACUAUAUUUUUCUAGUAUAUGAAACUUUACUUUGAGAAAAUUAGAGUGCUUAAAGCAGGCUUUUGCCUUGAAUACUUCAGCAUGGAAUAAUAAUAAAAGAUUUUUAUCUUUCUUUAUUGGUUCUAAGAUAGAAAUAAUGAUUAAUA
This 484-nucleotide ribosomal RNA is filed under the name Cryptosporidium sp. rat genotype I. Its description in RNAcentral is "SSU rRNA". It matches the Rfam family "Eukaryotic small subunit ribosomal RNA", at positions 369 to 874 of the family's 1831-position model. Lineage: Eukaryota; Apicomplexa; Conoidasida; Eucoccidiorida; Cryptosporidiidae. The record is from RNAcentral.